RNAcentral lists this ribosomal RNA (270 nucleotides) under Triticum aestivum (bread wheat). RNAcentral describes it as "partial small subunit ribosomal RNA". The record is from RNAcentral. Lineage: Eukaryota; Viridiplantae; Streptophyta; Magnoliopsida; Poales; Poaceae.
AUGGCGGACGAGAGGAGCAGGAGGGGAGGCGCGGAGGCAGGGCCAUAUGCGUCGGACGCGCGCGUUCGUCCGCAGUCAACGCGGACACAGCGGCCGUCCAUGGCGGCUUGGGUCGAUGUAGGAGGACGAGGGGAGGAGCUCGCGAGGCCCGGCACCGGUAAUGGAGCGGAGGCGGCUGGAUCUGGCGAUUCUAGAGGGGCUGGCGACGAGCGGCUCCAUGGGCGGCGACCUGCGGGGUUCAAGCGGCGGCUGAAGGUUUGUCAGGUAUGA